Long non-coding RNA from Artibeus jamaicensis (Jamaican fruit-eating bat), 638 nucleotides. RefSeq lists it as uncharacterized. The record is from RefSeq and is a predicted model, not a curated record. NCBI's taxonomy places the organism in Eukaryota, Metazoa, Chordata, Mammalia, Chiroptera, Phyllostomidae. The transcript has 3 exons.
UUAUCACCGUACUGCGGCGCAUGAGAGAAAAGAUCCCCUUUCUUCGGGCUGUAUUUUCAACCAGUGAUUCAGAAGCACUGAUAAGCUUGCUCUUGUACCUUUGAGCUGUACUCACAUUGCUGCUGGGAGGCAACAACAGGGGAAACGCAGAGUUCUCCGGUAACUGUGAAGGACGAGACCGGAAGAGUGACCUCCACCCCAGACCACAUCUCACUUUUAGCUCAUUUUGUUAAAAGAUCCUGUAAUCCUGUAUGUUGUGCCGCAGGCUUGAGUCUCUCACAGAUUACAGACCGGAUUUUACUUUUGGAACUCUUUAUUAAUGAAAACCAACCCAUAGGAAAAAUUUAAUGAAGGCAGGAAAAGAGAUGUCAGCUGUCUUGAAUAUUUGCAAGGUUGUCAAGCCAGAGAUGGAGAAGAGUGAUCCAGGUAUUCCAGAAGACAGAACCAGGGCCCAUCAAAUCUAAAGGGAGGUAUUUGGACUCACUGUGAGGUAAAGCAUCUACCAGUUAGAGCAGGUGAGUUGUAAAUACUGCCUUAAGUGGAGGUGGGCCAGGGUGGCCACUUACUGCAACAUGGUUGGGAGGACAGAAUUAGGUGACCUCUAAGAAACCUCUGCUGCUAAGAAGCAGAAAUCAAGA